CUCAAGUCAAUUGUAUUUAAAUUCAUGUUCAUUAAAGAUUUUUAUUCAAGAAUUAAAAAGUCCCAUUUACUUAAUGAUCAUUUUUCACUGUCUUCAACCUCAAGAACCAGGGUGAGUCUGGGUAACCCUUUUACUGGGCAAACACAACUUCGAUAUCGUCAUAGACUAGGCCGAAACGUUAAUCUUUUAACCUUGCCUGAAUAAAACAAUGCAUUUUUUUAUAGUGAGCAAGAGUAGUGCUUUUUCCUUUUCAAUGAUGAUUCAAAUUUUUGGUUGCACCGAAACUCAACGUUGGUUGAGCGCCCUGCGUUUUUUUGUUGUCAAUUUUUUUUUUAAAUGUACAAAGUAAAUUAUUAAAAGCAUUAAAAUUGGGAUGUUUCCCACUUAUUUAUAAAACCUACUCCACACUUGCAUAGUGAAAGUUUAUAGAAAAGUUCUGAAAUUAAGUAGUAAACAGAAGAAAAGCAGAAUUGAGUCCAAUUAUAAUGCGAAUAAUUUAAUGGUCUAUGGUUCAAUCCCACUUCUGAAUGUCUGAUGAAUAAUUAAUAUUGUUCCUCCUCUUCCUUGUAGCAGGCGCAGCAGCACACUGCCCUCCAAAGCCUGCAAAAUAAUCGCCGGACUGCCCCUUUCCUAGCUCUACAUGGAACAUCCAGUGUCACGUCCUUGGUUACGUGUGGGGUGACAUCCGGGAUGACCACAGCAACAUCCUCUGGAAAGGGAAAAAAGAGGAACAGAAUGUAAACAAAUGCAAACCGUAGGUUCUAAACACUGGCCAGUUGAAAGGUUCUUCUAAGAUGUCAUGACAAACGGCACCUGUCAGAGUGCUCUCUAAGUGUUACUCACCUGCUUGGAUGUCAGCUGGCAGAGUGGUGAAGACGGCCAUCGUGAGAGUCCUUUCUUCAGGUGUGACGUCCACAACCUCCAAGAGGGAAGAGAUGGGCUCUGCCUCUGUAUUAGGGGUGAUGUCCACAAUAUUUAGGUGGAAAGAAGCCGGCUCUGCCUCUGUGUUAGGGGUUAUGUCCACAACAUUCAGGUGGAGAGAAGCCGGAUCUGCCUCUGUGUUAGGGGUGAUGUCCACAACCUCCAGGUGGGAAGAAGCCGGGCCUGCCUCUGUUUUUGGGGUGAUGUCUUGAACCUCCAGGUGGGAAGAACCCGGAUCUGCCUCUGUAUUAAGGGUUAUGUCCACAACAUUCAGGUGGGAAGAAGCCGGAUCUGCCUCUGUAUUAAGGGUUAUGUCCACAACAUUCAGGUGGAGAGAAGCCGGGUCUUCCUCUGUGUUAGGGGUGAUGUUCACAACCUCCAGGUGGGAAGAUGCCGGGUCUGCCUCUGUUUUUGGGGUGAUGUCUUGAACUUCCAGGUGGGAACAACCCGGGUCUGCCUCUGUUUUUGGGGUGAUGUCCACAACCUCCAGGUGGGAACAAGCCGGGUCUGCGUCUGUUUUUGGGGUGAUGUCCACAACCUCCAGGUGGGAACAAGCCGGGUCUGCCUCUGUGUUAGGGGUGACUUUCACAAUCUCCAGGUGGAAAGAAGCCGGAUCUGCCUCUGUGUUAGUGGUGAUGUCCACAACAUUCAGGUGGGAAGACGCUGGGUCUGUGUCAUGGGUGACAACAACAAUCCUGAUGAGCUCUACUACUACUACACCAAGAUGUCAUCAGAACAGGCAUCUGUCAGAGUGCUCGCUAU
This 1683-nucleotide long non-coding RNA is filed under the name Salmo salar (Atlantic salmon). Its description in RNAcentral is "lncRNA (ENSSSAG00000120958.1)". The record is from RNAcentral. Lineage: Eukaryota; Metazoa; Chordata; Actinopteri; Salmoniformes; Salmonidae.